GAUGAACGCUGGCGGCGUGCCUAAUACAUGCAAGUCGAGCGAACAGACGAGGAGCUUGCUCCUCUGACGUUAGCGGCGGACGGGUGAGUAACACGUGGAUAACCUACCUAUAAGACUGGGAUAACUUCGGGAAACCGGAGCUAAUACCGGAUAAUAUAUUGAACCGCAUGGUUCAAUAGUGAAAGACGGUUUUGCUGUCACUUAUAGAUGGAUCCGCGCCGCAUUAGCUAGUUGGUAAGGUAACGGCUUACCAAGGCAACGAUGCGUAGCCGACCUGAGAGGGUGAUCGGCCACACUGGACCUGAGACACGGUCCAGACUCCUACGGGAGGCAGCAGUAGCGAAUCUUCCGCAAUGGGCGAAAGCCUGACGGAGCAACGCCGCGUGAGUGAUGAAGGUCUUCGGAUCGUAAAACUCUGUUAUUAGGGAAGAACAAAUGUGUAAGUAACUAUGCACGUCUUGACGGUACCUAAUCAGAACGCCACGGCUAACUACGUG
This 497-nucleotide ribosomal RNA is filed under the name uncultured bacterium. RNAcentral describes it as "partial 16S ribosomal RNA". It matches the Rfam family "Bacterial small subunit ribosomal RNA", at positions 28 to 507 of the family's 1533-position model. The record is from RNAcentral.